Molecule: ribosomal RNA, 667 nt
Filed under: uncultured Xanthobacteraceae bacterium
Lineage: Bacteria; Pseudomonadati; Pseudomonadota; Alphaproteobacteria; Hyphomicrobiales; Xanthobacteraceae
Description: bacterial SSU rRNA
Rfam family: Bacterial small subunit ribosomal RNA
Source: RNAcentral
GCGGCAGACGGGUGAGUAACGCGUGGGGAUCUGCCCAAUGGUACGGAAUAACCCAGGGAAACUUGGACUAAUACCGUAUGUGCCCUUCGGGGGAAAGAUUUAUCGCCAUUGGAUGAACCCGCGUCGGAUUAGCUAGUUGGUGAGGUAAAGGCUCACCAAGGCGACGAUCCGUAGCUGGUCUGAGAGGAUGAUCAGCCACACUGGGACUGAGACACGGCCCAGACUCCUACGGGAGGCAGCAGUGGGGAAUAUUGGACAAUGGGCGCAAGCCUGAUCCAGCCAUGCCGCGUGUGUGAUGAAGGCCUUAGGGUUGUAAAGCACUUUCGCCGGUGAAGAUAAUGACGGUAACCGGAGAAGAAGCCCCGGCUAACUUCGUGCCAGCAGCCGCGGUAAUACGAAGGGGGCAAGCGUUGCUCGGAAUCACUGGGCGUAAAGCGCACGUAGGCGGGUCGUUAAGUCAGGGGUGAAAUCCUGGAGCUCAACUCCAGAACUGCCUUUGAUACUGGCGACCUAGAGUUCGAGAGAGGUUGGUGGAACUCCGAGUGUAGAGGUGAAAUUCGUAGAUAUUCGGAAGAACACCAGUGGCGAAGGCGGCCAACUGGCUCGAUACUGACGCUGAGGUGCGAAAGCGUGGGAGCAAACAGGAUUAGAUACCCUGGUAGUCCAC